Molecule: long non-coding RNA, 219 nt
Filed under: Cyanistes caeruleus (blue tit)
Lineage: Eukaryota; Metazoa; Chordata; Aves; Passeriformes; Paridae
Description: lncRNA (ENSCCEG00000006178.1)
Source: RNAcentral
UGUUGCAGCUCGGAUGAGCUGUGCUCUUCUGAAAGAUUUACCAAGCUCUGGUUCAGCUUUAACGCUGGUUCAAGAGUCCAUGAACUGGGUGUCUUUCUGAUGAAGCUGAGAUAUAAGAUAUUCUCCAGAAAAUCACAUUCAGAAGAUGGUCUAGCUGAUAAUAGGCAUCCCCAUGGAGCUAUGGAGGAGCAAAAAGAACUGCUAAUACAGAGCUAUUAA